CAGAACUUUCCAUGCCUGGACUGUGAGGGUGUGCAAAGCCAGGGGGUCCUUGGCCUCCUGAGAGGCACCAGCUCCAGCUGCUGUUUUGUUAUUAAUUAUUGCACUGAGAUUUAAUUAUUUUAAGCAUUGAGACAUCUGAGGCUCUGCCGUGGGGAAUGUGGAGGGAGGAAAGCUGGUCUGACCCCGUGAGGGUGGGGUGGAGCUGGGAAGGAAUUCCCAGCUCAGGAUUUGUGAGUUCCAGAGUGGCUCCAGGGUGGUCAGACAGGGAAUUUUCCCUGACAGGCCCAUUUGUGGGGUCAUCCCAGCAAGGUGGCACUGGGUGAGCUCUAAGGUCCUUUCCAAGUCAUCCUGUGAUUCCAUGAUUUCCCAUAACUCAUCAGGAAGUUUCCACCCUGGGCACAACCCAAGCUGGGAAUUGCUGGAGGAUUUUUUUUCAAAGCUCUACUAACAAUGGUACUUUUCUACUUGGGAUGAUUCCAGGCUGUGAAGUUCCAAAGCCCCCAGGGAAUAAGGGAUUAUCCCUUGUUCUCACCUUGCUGAGGGCUGGGGCUCUUGGUAUGGACCAUUCUCCCACCUUUUCCAUGCACAAGCUCCUGGUGUGCUCAAGGGUGAUGCUUCAAGGAGCUGGUUUGCUCAGGGGACACUUGUCCAUCCAGCUGGGAAUUCCUGAGGCCCCCAGCAGCUCCCAGGAAGGGGGAGCUGGGGAGGUGCAGCACCACAAGUGGAAGUGGUUGAGGAGUUCCAGGUUUGUCCUUGGAGGUAGCUCGUGGAAGGGUUGUGUUCUUGGAUGUGACUCUUAAACUGGAGAUUUCUGGGUAAAAAAAACCUCAGGACUAGAGAUUAAUCCAUGUUGAAAGGGAGACAAACUUCUUGUUUCAAGGCACCAGGGAUGAGGAUCCACCUCCUUCCAGAACAACAAUAUUCCUCUGAAUUCAUUUGCCACAAACAGAAAUCAAAACUCUGCCUCAAGGAGCAGAAUGCUCCGAACUCCAGGAAUUAAUCAGCUUUUGUUUUCCUGGAAGGAUUUAAGCAGGACUUACUAAAUCUCUUAUCAGCUCUCACAGGUUCCUGUGCUGAGUACAUAAAACAUGCUCAGGAUGUGAGUUCACCCUCCCAGGAGUACUGGGAAUUGUGGUUCAGCCCUGGUAAUUCCGUGUGCUCGAGGAAAACGGUCCCAAGAAGUGCUUUGUAAAGCUCAGGUUGGCAGCCUGGGAUGGUUUCCCAUUAGGUUAAUUACUUUCAUUUUAAUUACCUACUAUGAAUCCAGCAAGAAGCAGUUGCUGGGCCUGGAUUCUGUCCCAAAUCAACGCUGCCCAUUGCUCUUGG
Molecule: long non-coding RNA, 1326 nt
Organism: Passer montanus (Eurasian tree sparrow)
Lineage: Eukaryota; Metazoa; Chordata; Aves; Passeriformes; Passeridae
Exons: 3
Source: RefSeq, a predicted model, not a curated record